RNAcentral lists this long non-coding RNA (4211 nucleotides) under Marmota monax (woodchuck). Lineage: Eukaryota; Metazoa; Chordata; Mammalia; Rodentia; Sciuridae. The record is from RNAcentral.
GUCCUGGUUUGCUAGGGCUGAUGGAUCAAAGAACCAGCGAUGGGUGGUUUACAUAACAGGAAUGGAUGAUGGCACCCUUCUGAGGAGGCUUAAAGUCGGAGACCAUAGUAGGUGUUUCAGUGUUAUCGCGGCCAUAACCAAAAGCCCUGACAAGAACAAUUUCAGAGGAGGAAAAGUACUUGGUGCUCAUGGUUUCAGAAGUCCGACUCCAAAGACACUUGGCUCCAUAGCUCUGGGCCUGGGGUAGGUGGACCACCAUGGCCGAAGGGCACGGCAGAGGGAAGCAGCUCAGGAUGUGGCAAAAAGAGAGAGAGGUCUGUUCACCACGGACAAAUAGAUAACCUAAAGCCCACCCCCUCGGCCACCUCCUCCAGCCACACCCUACCUGCCUGUAGUAGUUACCACCUGUUAGUGGAUGAAUGCACCAAUUAGAUCAAGGCUCUCCUAACCCAGUCAUUUAACCUCUAAGUUUUGUUGCAUUGUCUCACAAAUGAGUUUUUUGGGGACACCUCAUAUCUAAACCCUGAGAACAGGGUUUUUCCUUCUGAGGGCUGGGAGGGAAGGAUCAGCUCCAGGUCUCUCUCCUUGGCUUGUAGAUGGUCAUCUUCACAUCACGUGGCACAUUCUCCCUGUAUGCAUGACUGUCUUCAAACUUCCCCUUUAUUAUAGGGACACUGUCACAUUGGAUUAGGGCCCAUCCUAAAGACCUGAUUUAGCCUUGAUCAUCUCUGUAAAGACCCUGUCUCUAGGUAGGGUCACAUUCUGAGGUACUAGGGGUCAGGAUCCAACAUGUGAAGUUUUGAGGGUGGAGGUGCACAGUUUAAGCUACAACAGAAAUACUGCAUGCAGCACACUCAGUGUGGGCACAGGGUAAGCACGCUGUAAACCACUAUCACUGCUGUUGACGUGAUCUCUCAGCCCUCGUCUCCAGCCCCCAUUUCCACCCCAGUAUCCACCUGUUCCCUAGUUGCUUUCUGCUCUGUUCCUCCCACCUUGAACUUUAUUUUCUAUCCUCCCUGGCCUGUGGAUUCCAUCACCACCCUCAAGAUGGGAAAGGGUUGCUGGGAAUGGUGUGACAAAGGCGGAGAUCAUUGGGCUUGGGAAUUGCAUGUCCAGGCCGCUGCUCUGAGGCUAGUCCUGGCUGAUUAUCUGCAGCCUGACUCCUGCCCCUUUGGUGGAAUGCUCUGGGACUUGCUUACCCUAUCCUCUAGUGAAAGACAGAGGUGGUAGCUCCGAAUUUAGACCUUGAGGUCCAUUACUCUUAGCUUAAGGAUGGGAAAACUGCAGCCUGUGGGUGCCAUCCGGCCUGCUGCCUCGUGGUUGUUUUUGUGGGACAGUUAUGUCCAUCCAUUUACAUACUGUCCAAAGUGGCUUUCAUCCUACAUCUGCAGCAUUGGGUGGGUGCAACAGAGAUCAACCACGUGACCUGCAAAACUGAAAGUAUCUGGCCCCUUACAGAAAAAGAUUGCUGACUCCUGUCCUAAUGUGGCAGGGGCUCUCCCUGAACGAAGAAAAGGCUAUGUGCCACAGUUUAUGUGCGUGCCAACUCUGCCAUAAAUCUGUUCCGACUCUGUCAUAAUUCAGUUAUGCGUGAUGCUGUUGCAACUUUGUUCCAACUGCAUAGCAUAAGAAUACCCAAACAAAAUGUGUAUUACCUUAUAUGGGAGCCGGAGAGCUUACAAGAGGUAUAUAAGGAGAUGCCUCCCUGCGUUUGGGGCUUGGCCUUUGGAUAAUAAACUGCUGUGCAUGUUGGCACAAAAUAAACACCACUUCCUGUUGCCCCGGUGCCCACCUCUCUCUGCUUGCAAAUCCCACAAAACUAGCUCUAUGAUCUUGGGUAAAUAUCUUAACCUCUCUGUGCACCCUGCAAACCCCAUUUAUUCAUUAGAGAUGGCGUUGGCAAAUUUCUCAUGAGGGUUUUGUGAUGAUUAAAUGAGCCAAUAAUAUAGUGCCACAUUGGCUUUUCGUUUUUCUUUUUCUUGUUUUGGUAUGGGGGAUUAAACCCAGGGGUGCUUUAUAACUCAGCCAUGUCCCCAGUCCUUUGAAAAUUUUGAGACAGGGAUUCAUCAGGUUGCUAAGGGUCUCACUAAAUUGCUGAGGCUGACCUCAAACUUGUAACCCUCCUGUCUCAGCCUUCCGAGAGGCUGGGAUUACAGGUGUGUGCCACCUUACCUGGCUACAUCAGCGAUUAACAUUAUUACACAAGUCACGGCCAAGCUCCAUGGACUCAGAGCCACAUGCUCUCACCUGGGGUGUAAUCAGGACCAAAGACCCUUGCAACUUGGCCUCUUUAAACCUAUACCCUCAUCCUGCCCGAGAAGACCUCCCCAGGCCACUUCUGGCUUGCAUGGAUAGCUGUGCAGAGCCUCUCUGGCUUUCCUUCCAGCUGCCCCAGCCCCAGCUGUCACCCUCGCCCCAGCCUAUACCAUCUCAUUCAGUGACUAUUAAUUGAGAACCCAUUAGGUGUGCAGAGGCUUGAGCUGAGCAUCCACGGGACUAGAGAUAAAAACAACACAGUCCCUGCCCUUAUCGCACGAGCUCCUUCCAUCCCUUACAUAACUGGGUGCCUGGUAAAGACUUGGACCUUAUCAUUUUUGAAGCUGAAAAACUUGAAAAAAUUGUGUGCAGUGCCUAUCUCCAGGGUGGAGGCUGGAAUUUACCUUGAGGGCAGAAUGUCCCUUUGUUCUUGGCAGAACCUCUCGAGUGGGCCCUUGUAGUUAUGUAAACGAGAAGCAAGUGCUGGCCCAGGUUCUCGGAGAGGACCUGCAUGCGAUUGCUUCAGACUGAGUGUCAGAUGUGCUGCUUAGUAAUGUAAAUCAGGAGGUAUUUCAGCGGAACCCUGACUCUGCAAAUUAUGUUUCCUUUAGAGAAAUGUUUCCUUUCUAAUUCUGGAUCGAGACUGCCCAGUGCCUGUAAAUUGCUGCAUUUGUACGAGGUUGCAGAAAUUCUGGGAGCAGUUGUCCCUGGCUGUACUUUUGGAGACCCAGGUUUCAGAAAGGAUACCACCAUGGGAUUCCUGCAGUUAUUGCUCCGUUGGAAGAUCCCAUCCUUGAGGGUCGGUGGGGGUCAGUUUCACUGCGUGGGGAGGUUGGGUUUGAGGAUCUGGGAGGCAGGUCUGGACUCCAGGCAGGGCAGGCUGGCUGGCAACCAGUUAGGGAAGCUGUCUGAUAAGACGGUCUGGGGUUGGGCUCAGGCCGGGGAGUUCCGAGUGGCAGCUCUAAACUCUGCUUUAUGUCACACUUUUCCUUUCAUGAGUCCCAAGCCUUCUGUGAAUCUUGCUCCAGUCACAGUGGUUCUCAGCAGCCAUGAACGGGGGUGAGGGACUGGUGAAGAGAGAGAGAGAGAGGUAAUCCAAGGUUUAAAAGGAGCAGCCAAUUCUGAGGGAGGACACCAGAGGUGGACAUCAGUGGUGCAUCAGGAGAGGACAGCUGGGGUCAGCAGCUUGGUGACCUCGCUGAGACCUUUGAGGGGGGAGGGGGCCCAUUCUGGAGCACUCAAGGCUGUCUUUGGAAACUCCUGGAAGUAGCUGGAGGGCAGUUGAAGGGCAAACCUCCAGCCCUUAGGGGAGGUUCUCCUGGAUUAGGCAAAACCAGCCUCCUGUCAUCCUGCAUUUCUCUGCCUGUUAAACAAAACUGCACAGUCAUGGUCCCUAGUUCCUUUGGUCCUGGAAUAAUUCACUGUCACCUUUCCCCCAUUGAUAUUUGGGAUCUAUGUAAAUUUAACGUCUGUCUGGCCUGUUGAUGUUGGACAUGACAGAGAACACUGAAACAAGACCACUCGAGAGACUUUCUCCAACAGCCCAGACCCUUCAGUUCUUAUGAACAGGUGCUGAAAGUCACAGGUGCCAAGAGCCCACAUGAGGGAUAUGGGAAGGGACUUCCCAGAACAAGCAUCCCUAAAACAGGGCAAUGGGCAGGAUGGCCUGAGGUCCUCUAGGAAUUUGUUGUCAUGGGGAUGAAAGGAGGUUGUCACCAUGGUAGAAUCUGGUGUUUCUUGUUCUUACCCAAGUAUAUGCUGAAUGUCCACUUUUGAGCGUGGCAGGUGAUAUGUGUCUUCAGCAUCCCAUGGUGAGUCACUCAGUAAAUCUCUCCCUGUGCCCGAUGCCCCACCGUGUCCACCAGAGCUGGUCCCAGGAAUGUCCUCCAUGGGGGGACAGGGGCACUGCUCUUGGGCUGGAGUUAGCUACGUGCACAGAGGCAGCAAAUAAAGGC